GGCACAGUGGUAGAGUGGUUAAUACGUGAGACUCGAACGCGCUGAUUUCAGCCUUCUGACAUCUCAUGCCUUCGGGCGCGUAGGUUCAAAUCCUGCCUGUGUCG
This is a non-coding RNA of Onygenales sp. PD_40, 104 nucleotides long. NCBI's taxonomy places the organism in Eukaryota, Fungi, Ascomycota, Eurotiomycetes, Onygenales. The record is from the annotation of a GenBank genome assembly.